RNAcentral lists this ribosomal RNA (460 nucleotides) under uncultured bacterium. RNAcentral describes it as "partial 16S ribosomal RNA". It matches the Rfam family "Bacterial small subunit ribosomal RNA", at positions 338 to 795 of the family's 1533-position model. The record is from RNAcentral.
CCUACGGGUGGCAGCAGUGGGGAAUAUUGGUCAAUGGGCGCGACCCUGAACCAGCCAAGUCGCGUGAAGGAUGACUGCCCUACGGGUUGUAAGCUUCUUUUAUAGAGGAAUAAAGUGAGGCACGUGUGCCUUUUUGUCUGUACUUUAUGAAUAAGGAUCGGCUAACUCCGUGCCAGCAGCCGCGGUAAUACGGAGGAUCCGAGCGUUAUCCGGAUUUACUGGGGUUAAAGGGAGCGUAGAUGGGUUGUUAAGUCAGUUGUGAAAGUUUGCGGCUCAACCGUAAAAUUGCAAUUGAUACUGGCAGCCUUGAGUGCAGGAGAGGUAGGCGGAAUUCGUGGUGUAGCGGUGAAAUGCUUAGAUAUCACGAAGAACUCCGAUUGCGAAGGCAGCUUACUAAACUGCCACUGACAUUGAUGCUCGAAAGCGUGGGUAUCAAACAGGAUUAGAUACCCGUGUAGUC